Molecule: ribosomal RNA, 438 nt
Filed under: uncultured bacterium
Lineage: Bacteria
Description: bacterial SSU rRNA
Rfam family: Bacterial small subunit ribosomal RNA
Source: RNAcentral
AGAGUUUGAUCCUGGCUCAGAUUGAACGCUGGCGGCAUGCCUUACACAUGCAAGUCGAACGGCAGCACGGGGGCAACUCUGGUGGCGAGUGGCGAACGGGUGAGUAAUACAUCGGAACGUGUCCUGUAGUGGGGGAUAGCCCGGCGAAAGCCGGAUUAAUACCGCAUACGAUCUACGGAAGAAAGCGGGGGAUCGCAAGACCUCGCCGCUAUAGGGGCGGCCGAUGGCAGAUUAGCUAGUUGGUGGGGUAAAGGCCUACCAGGGCGACGAUCUGUAGCUGGUCUGAGAGGACGACCAGCCACACUGGGACUGAGACACGGCCCAGACUCCUACGGGAGGCAGCAGUGGGGAAUUUUGGACAAUGGGGGAAACCCUGAUCCAGCAAUGCCGCGUGUGUGAAGAAGGCCUUCGGGUUGUAAAGCACUUUUGUCCGGAAAG